UACGGAGGGUGCGAGCGUUGUCCGGAAUCACUGGGCGUAAAGGGCGCGUAGGUGGCACGGUAAGCGUGUGGUGAAAGCUCGGGGCUCAACCCCGAGUCGGCCAUGCGAACUGCUGCGCUUGAGCACUGUAGAGGCAGACGGAAUUCCGGGUGUAGCGGUGGAAUGCGUAGAGAUCCGGAAGAACACCGGUGGCGAAGGCGGUCUGCUGGGCAGUAGCUGACACUGAGGCGCGACAGCGUGGGGAGCAAACAGG
This 253-nucleotide unclassified non-coding RNA is filed under the name uncultured Gemmatimonadaceae bacterium. RNAcentral describes it as "contains 16S-23S intergenic spacer region". It matches the Rfam family "Bacterial small subunit ribosomal RNA", at positions 524 to 776 of the family's 1533-position model. Lineage: Bacteria; Pseudomonadati; Gemmatimonadota; Gemmatimonadia; Gemmatimonadales; Gemmatimonadaceae. The record is from RNAcentral.